Molecule: long non-coding RNA, 1676 nt
Filed under: Marmota monax (woodchuck)
Lineage: Eukaryota; Metazoa; Chordata; Mammalia; Rodentia; Sciuridae
Source: RNAcentral
GUUGUGUACCAGCCAGGGAGCACACUGAAAAUAAAAAGGAAGGGUCACAGGUAGGAAAAAAUUCCAGGACACCCAGGUCUGACUGAGGACUUCAACUUUGGGGGGUUUUGCAUUGUGUCUUUUGCUAGGACACAAAAUUGCUAAUCGUUUAUCCUGCUUCUUUAGCAACAAUAAGGUGUGUGUGACCUCAGCCUGGUCAAUCAGAAAAGCUCAAUUCUUUGGUCAUGUGGAUUAGUCUAAGAGAAGAGCACAUGACUUACCCAGUCUAAUCAGUCUUCUCUUAGGUGUUUACACACUAAAGGAGACUGAGAAGUCCUGUCUGGGUUGGUUGGUUGGUUUGCACUACUGGGGAUUGAACCCAGGAGUGCUCUAUCACUGAGCUAGCCCUAUUUUAUUUAUUUACUUUUAAAACAGGAUCUUGUUAAAUUAUCCGAAUGGCCUUGAAUUUACAGUCCUUUAGUCUCAAUCUCACAGGUAGCUGGGAUUACAGAUGUGUACACCAUACCUAGUCACAAAAUUUGUGUGUGUGUAUUGUUUUGUUUUUGUGGUGCUGGGGAUUGAACCUGAAACUUUGCACAUGCUAGGGAAGUGUUCUACCAAUGAGCUAGACCUCCAGCCCAUAUGAUUUUUUAGUUCACAAAGUUGGAACUUAAAUACUGAAGUCAUAUUUCUUCUUCCUUAACAGUGAGGAGUAAGCCUGUCUAUAAAGCAAGCGAUCAUAAUUACAGCCCCUAAAGAGAAGAAUGUGAGUAGAAGAUUGGAAACAAAGUUCUGGUGCUCUCCAGCACAUCUCAGGAUCCUUUGGCAUGUUGCAUGGUCUGCGGAGGUUCCCACUGGAUACCCAACCUGCCAUCAACCCAGUUUAAUGCAAACUGUGGUGCCCUUGGAAUAUGACGUGAAUGGCAUCCCCUGGAGAUGAACAGAACACAUUCCACAUGACCACACGUGGGAGCCCUGAUUACAGAUGAGAAACUAAGACUCAGAGGUAAAAUGACUUGUCCAAAGUUAUAUAGACAAGGUCUAAAGACUUCAGAGCCCAGGUUCUGAUACACCACCAUCUUGUGGCUCACUCCUAAGGCAUUGCAUAGGCCAGAAAGGAGGUGGCACUCAUCACUUCACCUGACCUCCAUGAGUAGGAGCCAUUAUACUCUGGGUAGCACCUCUGUGUCCUGGACACAUUGGGGGCCCUUGUUGGUCUAGUCAUGAAACUCUGGAUUCCUGUGAGUGAAUUCAUCCUAUAAAUGAGGGAUCAGUAAUGAAAAAGGAAGGUUUAGUGACAUCUGUGGCUUUUGUCAGACAAGCAACAUUCUCCUUCUGGCAAUAGAAUCCCAAGUUAGCUUUGGAGACCUACUCUCCCUCAAUGGAUACAAUCUUUAUGAGACUGUCCAUUAAAAAGUCUCACAUUCCCUAGUCAGAAAGCAGACAUAUGAUUCUAAGGUUUUUGUAUCUUAUUCUUUGGAGGGUCUGGUUCAUCACAUUUUCAUCUAAUUUAUGUAGGGGUGUGUGUGUGUGUGUGUGUGUGUGUGUGUGUAGCAGGGACUGUAGUGUCCUAUCCAUAAACACUUACCACUAUUUCUGAGCAUAACUAUUGCUUCCAUCCGCAGCCCCUACAGUUCUUUGCCUAGAAGUUGACUCUGGAUGCCCAGAGACAUGAAAGGGACAGGCCAAUAGUGCCA